UGAGGAAUAUUGCACAAUGGGGGCAACCCUGAUGCAGCGACGCCGCGUGGGUGAUGACGGCCUUCGGGUUGUAAAGCCCUUUUGCCACUGACGAGAACGGACGGUAGGUGGCGAAUAAGCCUCGGCUAACUACGUGCCAGCAGCCGCGGUAAAACGUAGGAGGCGAGCGUUAUCCGGAGUUACUGGGCGUAAAGCGUGCGCAGGCGGUGCCAUAAGUCAGGUGUGAAAGGUUCCGGCUCAACCGGGAAAACGCGCUUGAGACUGUGGGACUAGAGUGGGAUAGAGGGACGUGGAAUUCCGGGUGGAGCGGUGAAAUGUGUAGAGAUCCGGAGGAACACCAGAGGCGCAAGCGGCGUCCUGGGUCCCAACUGACGCUGAGGCACGAAAGCUUGGGGAGCGAACGGG
RNAcentral lists this ribosomal RNA (405 nucleotides) under uncultured bacterium. RNAcentral's name for it is "bacterial SSU rRNA". It matches the Rfam family "Bacterial small subunit ribosomal RNA", at positions 355 to 776 of the family's 1533-position model. The record is from RNAcentral.